GCGGCGGAUUAGGUCGAUGGUAGGGUAACGGCCUACCACGCCCGCGAUCCGUACCGGCCAUGAGAGUGGGAGCCGGGAGAUGGAUACUGAGACAAAGAUCCAGGUUCUACGGAAUGCAGCAGGCGCGUAACCUUCGCAAUGCGCGAGAGCGUGACGAGGGAACCCCAAGUGCUAGCCCACGAGGUUAGCUUUUAAAGAGUGUAAACAGCUUUUAGAAUAAGGGCUGGGUAAGACCGGUGCCAGCCUCCGCGGUAAAACCGGCAGCCCGAGUGGUACUCGUUUUUAUUGGGCUUAAAGCGUCCGUAGUCGGUGCGGUCAGUCUCCUGUGAAAUCCACUUGAUAACAUGUGGGCGUGCAGGGGAUACUUCCGCACUUGGAGUCGGGAAGGGUCAGGGGUAUCUGAAGGGUAGCGGUGAAAUGUUAUAAUCCUUCAGAGACCACCGGUGAAGGCGCCUGACUGGAACGAGCUCGACGAUGAGGGACGAAAGCUAGGGUAGCGAACCGGAUUAGAUACCCGGGUAGUCCUAGCCGUAAACGAUGCGGACUGAGUGUUGCAAAAACCUCGUGUUUUUGCAGUGCUGAAGGGAAACUGUUAAGUCCGCCGCCUGGGGAGUACGGUCGCAAGGCUGAAACUUAAAGGAAUUGGCGGGGGAGCACCACAAGGCGUGGAGUCUGCGGUUUAAUUGGAUACAACGCCGGGCAACUCACCAGGGGCGACGGCAGAAUGAAGGUCAGGCCAAAGGUCUUACCUGACGAGCCGAGAGGUAGUGCAUGGCCGUCGUCAGCUCGUACCGUGAGGCGUGCGGUUAAGUCCGUUAACGAGCGAGACCCGUGCCCUUAUUUGCCAACGCUUCGGCUUGCCGGGGCGAGCACUCUAAGGGGACCGCUGGCGAUGAGUCAGAGGAAGGCGCGGGCAACGGUAGGUCUGUAUGCUCCGAAUCUCCUGGGCUACACGUGGACUACAAUGGCGUAAGCAACGGGUUGCAACACCGAAAGGUGAAAGCUAAUCCCUCAAAGUACGUCUAAGUUCGGAUCGAGGGUUGUAACUCACCCUCGUGAAGCUGAAAUGCCUAGUAAUCGCACGUCACCAUCGUGCGGUGAAUAUGUCCCCGCUCCUUGCACACACCGCCCGUCAAACCAACCGAGUGGAUUGGAGGCGAGGGGUCUUCCUUUGGGAGGCUUCAAGUCUUUGGUUCGCAAGGGGGGUUAAGUCGUAACAAGGUA
RNAcentral lists this ribosomal RNA (1224 nucleotides) under metagenome. RNAcentral's name for it is "bacterial SSU rRNA". It matches the Rfam family "Archaeal small subunit ribosomal RNA", at positions 217 to 1445 of the family's 1478-position model. The record is from RNAcentral.